CUGCUCUCCGCUUUCUGCAGAUUGCUAGUUCCAGCGAGGAGAUGGAGCCAGGAGGAUAGGAAACAGGGCUGCUCAUGCAGGGGGCUCUCGGGGAAUGAGGUUGGAACCUGGACCACGGACCUAGGCACAGCCAGCACCAACAGGAAAAGGGCUGCUCUGCCCCAUAUUAGAGAAAAUAGCAACAGCAACGUCAGAGCCAUGACCCCCAGGGAGUGGAGCGGCAGCCGUUGAAGGACCCCUGGGCUGGUACCCUCUUUCAAUGUCUAACAAUUCCAUGAAGGCUUCCUCAGGCCAGCUGCCGUCAUCCAUGAACAACAGACUCCAGCUACUUCAGUCUCGAAUACCAGACACUCUCCAGGAAGCUUCCAGGCCUUCAGCCUCAGACUAGGGCUACGUCAUUGGUACACCCUAGAGGAAGAAGGUGAUGCUGGGAUGAGGAAGACAGUGGGUGUUACUGUGGCUUCCAGCUACUGGAUUCUCUGACAGUCCAUCAUGCAGAUGGUCCUUGUGGAACUCUUUGGUCUGCAAUCAUAGAAGCCAAUCCAAUAAAUGUUUCUGUGAUCAUUUUAAAAUCACAUAUAUCACAAUAUAGAAUGUGUAUGUAUCACA
This is a long non-coding RNA of Peromyscus maniculatus bairdii (prairie deer mouse), 609 nucleotides long. RefSeq lists it as uncharacterized. NCBI's taxonomy places the organism in Eukaryota, Metazoa, Chordata, Mammalia, Rodentia, Cricetidae. The record is from RefSeq and is a predicted model, not a curated record.